This 491-nucleotide ribosomal RNA is filed under the name uncultured bacterium. RNAcentral's name for it is "partial 16S ribosomal RNA". It matches the Rfam family "Bacterial small subunit ribosomal RNA", at positions 28 to 507 of the family's 1533-position model. The record is from RNAcentral.
GACGAACGCUGGCGGCGCGCCUAACACAUGCAAGUCGAACGAGCGAGAGAGAGCUUGCUUUCUCAAGCGAGUGGCGAACGGGUGAGUAACGCGUGAGGAACCUGCCUCAAAGAGGGGGACAACAGUUGGAAACGACUGCUAAUACCGCAUAAGCCCACAGGUCGGCAUCGACCAGAGGGAAAAGGAGCAAUCCGCUUUGAGAUGGCCUCGCGUCCGAUUAGCUAGUUGGUGAGGUAACGGCCCACCCAGGCAACGAUCGGUAGCCGGACUGAGAGGUUGAACGGGCAGACGGGAACUGAGGCAGGGUGGAGACGCCUAGGGGGAGCAGCAGUGGGGAAUAGUGGGGAAGGGGGGCAAGGCUGAUGUAGACAGAGCGGGUGGGCGAAGAAGGACUGCGGGUUGUAAAGCGCUGUUGUUGGGAAAGAAAAGCAGCAGGUUAGUACCCCGCGGUUCUGACGGUACCCAACGAAUAAGCAACGGCUAACUGCGUG